Molecule: ribosomal RNA, 329 nt
Filed under: uncultured eukaryote
Lineage: Eukaryota
Description: partial 18S ribosomal RNA
Rfam family: Eukaryotic small subunit ribosomal RNA
Source: RNAcentral
CCCUUAGAUGUUCUGGGCCGCACGCGCGCUACACUGACGAUGGCAACGAGUUUUUCCUUCGCCGAAAGGUGUGGGUAAUCUUUUGAAACAUCGUCGUGCUGGGGAUAGAUCAUUGCAAUUUUUGAUCUUGAACGAGGAAUUCCUAGUAAGCGCGAGUCAUCAGCUCGCGUUGAUUACGUCCCUGCCCUUUGUACACACCGCCCGUCGCUACUGCCGAUUGAAUGGUUUAGUGAGGACUCCUGAUUGGCGCCGCCGCCCCGGCAACGGAGCAGCGGACUGCCGAAAAGUUGUUCAAACUUGAUCAUUUAGAGGAAGUAAAAGUCGUAACA